CCUACGGGGGGCUGCAGUGAGGAAUAUUGGUCAAUGGGCGCGAGCCUGAACCAGCCAAGUCGCGUGAGGGAAGACGGUCCUAUGGAUUGUAAACCUCUUUUGUCGGGGAGCAAAAGACGCCACGCGUGGCGUUCCGAGAGUACCCGAAGAAAAAGCAUCGGCUAACUCCGUGCUAGCAGACGCGGUAAUACGGAGGAUGCGAGCGUUAUCCGGAUUUAGUGGGUUUAACGGGUGCGCAGGCGGAAGAUCAAGUCAGCGGUAAAAUUGAGAGGCUCAACCUCUUCGAGCCGUUGAAACUGGUUUUCUUGAGUGAGUGAGAAGUAUGCGGAAUGCGUGGUGUAGCGGUGAAAUGCAUAGAUAUCACGCAGAACUCCGAUUGCGAAGGCAGCAUACCGGCGCUCAACUGACGCUCAUGCACGAAAGUGUGGGUAUCGAACAGGAUUAGAUACCCUUGUAGUC
Molecule: ribosomal RNA, 459 nt
Filed under: uncultured bacterium
Lineage: Bacteria
Description: partial 16S ribosomal RNA
Rfam family: Bacterial small subunit ribosomal RNA
Source: RNAcentral